RNAcentral lists this ribosomal RNA (162 nucleotides) under Coscinodon humilis. RNAcentral's name for it is "5.8S ribosomal RNA". It matches the Rfam family "5.8S ribosomal RNA". Rfam says of the family: 5.8S ribosomal RNA (5.8S rRNA) is a component of the large subunit of the eukaryotic ribosome. Lineage: Eukaryota; Viridiplantae; Streptophyta; Bryopsida; Grimmiales; Grimmiaceae. The record is from RNAcentral.
AAACAACUCUCAGCAACGGAUAUCUUUGGCUCCUGCAACGAUGAAGAACGCAGCGAAAUGCGAUACGUAGUGUGAAUUGCAGAAUUCCGCGAAUCAUCGAGUCUUUGAACGCAAGUUGCGCCCGAGACGAAAGUGUCGGGCAUUUCUGGCAGAGCGUCACCG